This 433-nucleotide unclassified non-coding RNA is filed under the name soil metagenome. Its description in RNAcentral is "partial contains 5.8S ribosomal RNA, internal transcribed spacer 2, and large subunit ribosomal RNA". The stretch from base 1 to 120 matches the Rfam family "5.8S ribosomal RNA", at positions 35 to 154 of the family's 154-position model. The record is from RNAcentral.
GAUGAAGAACGUAGCGAAAUGCGAUACGUAAUGUGAAUUGCAGAAUUCAGUGAAUCAUCGAAUCUUUGAACGCAUAUUGCGCUCUCUGGUAUUCCGGAGAGCAUGCUUGUUUGAGUAUCAGUAAACACCUCAACUCCCCUUUCUUUUUUUGAAAUGGGAGCUGGACUUGAGUGAUCCCAACGCUUUUCUCACCGAAAAGUGGCGGGUUACUUGAAAUGCAGGUGCAGCUGGACUUUUCUCUGAGCAAAAAGCAUAUCUAUUUAGUCUGCCUAAAAAACAGAUUAUUACCUUUGCUGCAGCUAACAUAAAGGAGAUUAGUUCUUGUGCUGACUGAUGCAGGAUUCACAGAGACAGCUUCGGCUGGCCUUUGUAAACUCGAUCUCAAAUCAAGUAAGACUACCCGCUGAACUUAAGCAUAUCAAUAAGCGGAGGA